Molecule: small RNA, 835 nt
Filed under: Pongo abelii (Sumatran orangutan)
Lineage: Eukaryota; Metazoa; Chordata; Mammalia; Primates; Hominidae
Description: processed transcript
Source: RNAcentral
GAAGCAGUGAAGGAGUGCAGAGGCAUCACCUGAAAAGGAUCACUGAGAUUCUGAUGAACAGACCUUCUGCCCGCAAUGCCUUGGGGAAUGUCUUCGUCAGUGAGGUAAGAAAGGGCGGGCGCCAGGGUGGGCUGGGGAUGGGCUGGCACUAUCUAACUGGGUGUCCUCUGUAGCUGCUGGAAACUCUGGCCCAGCUGCGGGAGGACCAGCAAGUGCGUGUCUUGCUCUUCAGAAGUGGAGUGAAGGGCGUGUUCUGUGCAGGUGCAGACCUGAAGGAGCGGGAACAGAUGAGUGAAGCAGAGGUGGGGGUUUUUGUCCAGCGACUCCGGGGCCUGAUGAAUGACAUCGCAGCCUUCCCUGCACCCACCAUUGCGGCUAUGGAUGGGUUUGCCUUGGGCGGAGGCCUAGAGCUUGCCCUGGCCUGUGACCUCCGAGUGGCAGCUUCCUCGGCCAUCGUGGGACUGAUUGAGACCACGCGAGGGCUCCUCCCGGGGGCAGGAGGGACUCAGAGGCUGCCCCGUUGUCUGGGGGUGGCCCUGGCGAAAGAGCUCAUCUUCACGGGCCGACGACUGAGUGGAACAGAGGCCCACGCACUGGGGCUGGUGAAUCACGCUGUGGCCCAGAACGAGGAGGGGGACGCCGCCUACCAGCGGGCACGAGCACUGGCCCAGGAGAUCCUGCCCCAGGCCCCCAUUGCUGUGCGGCUGGGCAAAGUAGCCAUUGACCGAGGAAUAGAGGUGGACAUUGUAUCCGGGAUGGCCAUUGAAGGGAUGUGCUAUGCCCAGAACAUUCCAACCCGGGACCGGCUAGAGGGCAUGGCAGCCUUCAGGGAGAA